This 10717-nucleotide long non-coding RNA is filed under the name Olea europaea subsp. europaea. Lineage: Eukaryota; Viridiplantae; Streptophyta; Magnoliopsida; Lamiales; Oleaceae. The record is from RNAcentral.
GUAUGGGUUUUAUUGGGUUAGCAGGUUAUUAUCGUCGAUUUGUAGAGGAUUUUUCCAAAAUUGCUCUUCCUUUGAUUAGUUUGACUCAAAGGAACUCCAAAUUUGUGUGGACUGAUGAAUGUGAACAGAGUUUUCAAGAGUUGAAGAAAAGAUUAGUUUAUGCUCCUAUACUUACUCUUCCAUCUCCAGGUAAAGAGUUUGUGAUUUAUAGUGAUGCUUCACGCCAAGGAUUGGGUUGUAUUCUAAUGCAGAAUGGGAAAGUUGUAGCUUAUGCUUCUAGACAAUUGAAGAAGCAUGAGUUAAAUUACCCAACUCAUGAUUUGGAGUUAGCUGUAGUAGUGUUGACAUUAAAGAUCUGGAGACAUUAUCUUUAUGGUGAGAAAUGUCAAAUAUUUACUGAUCACAAAAGUUUAAAGUAUAUAUUUGAUCAGAAAGAACUGAAUCUAAGGCAAAGGAGAUGGCUGGAGUUGAUAAAGGAUUAUGAUUGUAAGAUUGACUACCAUCCGGGGAAAGCAAAUGUAGUUGCAGAUGCUCUCAGUAGAAAGACAAGUUCAUACUCUCCAUCUAGUGCAGCUUAUGCUUCUUUGAUUUGUGAGUUCAAGAGGUUACACACUGAGUUGACAACUACUACUUCAGGGCGGUAUUAGCUCAUUUUCAGGUGAGGCCUACUUUGAUUGAUGAGGUUGGAGAAGCUCAAUCUCAAGACCAGACAUUGAGAAUAUUGAAAGCAGAAGUUAGUACUGGGUUAAGAACGAAUUAUGUGAUUAGAGAUGAUGGGGCGUUGGAUAGGGGUAAUAGAUUAUAUGUUCCAGAUAUUUCAGAAUUGAAGAAAGAGAUUUUGGAAGAAGCACACAGUUCUACUUAUGGUAUGCAUCUAGGCAGUAUUAAAAUGUAUCAUACAUUGAAAGAUCAUUAUUGGUGGCUUGGUAUGAAGAGAGAGAUAGCAGAUUUUGUAUCGAAAUGUCUUAUAUGUCAACAGGUAAAGCCAGUUCGUCUAAAAACAGCAGGACUUUUACAGCCAUUGCCUAUCCCAAAAUAGAAAUGGGAACACAUUACUAUGGACUUUUUAUUUGGCCUUUCUCGUAUUCAGAAUGGUCAUGAUAGAGUUUGGGUUAUCGUAGAUUGUUUGACCAAGAUGGCCAAAUUUUUGCCAAUCAAAGCUACUUAUACUUUAAAUAAGUUGGCAAAGUUGUAUGUGGAUGAGAUAGUGAGCUCUUAUGGUACUCCAUUAUCUAUUGUGUCAGAUAGAGACCCUCGUUUUACAUAUAAAAUUUGGCCCAGUUUGUAGGAAGCCAUGUGUACUAAACUACAUUUCAGUACAGCUUUUCAUUCUCAAACAGAUGACUAGUCAGAGGACCAUACAGACUCUUGAGGAUAUGUUGAGGGUUUGUGUUUUAGAGCUCAAGGGUAGCUGGGAUACUCAUUUGUCAUUAAUGGAGUUUGCUUACAAUAACAACUACCAAUCUAGUAUAGAAUGGCUCUUUUUGAAGCUUUAUAUGGUAGGAAGUGCAGGACACCAGUUUGUUGGGAUGAAGCUGGUAAGAGGAAGUUAGAAGGCUUGAAAUUGGUUCAAAUGACGUCCGAAAAUGUGAAAUUGAUCAAAGAAAAGUUGAAUGCAACUCAAGAGAGAUAGAAAAGUUAUGCUGAUAGUCGCAGGAAAGAUUUUGAAUUUGUAGUUGGAGAUAAAGUCUUUCUUGUAUUGUCACCUUCGAAAGGGGUGUUGAGAUUUGACAAGCGAGGAAAGUUGAGUUCACGAUACAUUGGACCCUAUGAGAUUACUGAAAGGAUUGGCCCAGUUGCAUACCGAUUAGAUCUGCCCGAUGAGUUAUCCCGAAUCCAUGAUCUUUUUCAUGUUUCCAUACUUCGCAAGUACAUUGCUGAUCCUUCUCAUGUUUUGGAGUCUUAGCCAAUCCAAUUGAAGGAAAAUUUAACAUAUAUAGAAGAGCCCGUGAGAAUUUUAAACAAAAUGGUACAAAUUCAACGAAACCAGACAGUUUCACUUGUUAAGGUACUUUGGCAGAAUCAAACAGUAGAAGAGGCUACAUGGGAGAAUGAGGAUCAGAUGCGUGCUCAAUAUCCUCAUUUAUUCAUUACCCAUUCAAUUGCCAGUUGAAUUUCGAGGACGAAAUUCUUUUAAAGAGGUAAGAUUGUUACAAUCCACAUUUUUAUCUAGUCAAAGUCAAUAGUGGAAUUUUCAAAGUCAAGUCAAAUUAGGACUUGAAUAAAAUAAAUCAUUUUUAUUGGGACUUGAUUGACCAAAUCAUUUUAUUUGGGUUUAUCUUAUAAAUUAUAAAUAUUUUGAAGGUCUUGCCUUGGACAAAAUAAAAAAUAAAAAAAUUGGGAUUUAUUUAUAUAUUUUUCGAAGUUGAGGAUUUACUUAUAUGUUGUAAUUAGAUUUAAGGGACUUUCUUUGCAAAUUGAACAUGUGGGACUUUAAAAUUCAACCUUUGACCAUUCUUUUUCUCCCAAAACCCACCCCUAUACACACAGUAACGCGAGAGAAGCAGAGACUGUGAGAGAAGAAAGAAAAAGGAAAAGAAGAAAGGAAAAAGGAAAAGAAAAAGGAAGGAAAAAAAAGGGAAGAAGAAAAGAGGUAAGGCUAAUCUCUUCAAGUUGGGAUGUAAUUUAUCCAUUGUUCCAAGUGAUAAAGGUGUGAUUUAUGUUAAAUUUUUAGGAUUUUAACUUGUAAUAAUAAAAUGUCAAAUUUAGGUGAUAUAUGUACGAUUUGGAGCUCAAGCUUGGGGAUUAAUUAGGUUCCAGUUUCAGCAAGGUAGGCAGUAAAAUUUUUGGGGAAACCCUAGAACUCGAUUUCGGAUUUUUGAUUAAUUAAUUGUGGAAAUUAUUAUAUAAAUGGAAUAUUUCACUUGGGAGUUGAUUAUAUGGAACAAAAUAUAUAUUAAAUGGGUGGAAUUAUGGUUGCUAGUUUCACUAAAUCGAGUGUAAAAUUAGUUUUAAACUUGGGAAGUAUUAUAAAAUGAGAGGAAAAGAGAAUAGAGAAAAUUCAAUAAACUUUUUGUGUGUAUUAUUGAAAAUCAAAGCCCUAUAUUUAUAGGUAAGAAUCAGGGAUAUAACGGUAAUAAUUUCUAGGGCUACAGGGAUACAAAUGUCAUCCACCAAUAAACUUUAAUAGACUUUCCAUUUACAACACUCCCCCUUGAAUGACAUAUUACAAAAUAUCUGCCUCGUUAAAACCUUGUUUGAUAAAAAUUCAAUGAAAAAAAAAAUCAAACGAAGGAAAAAUAGUACAGUUAUUUUGGAGUAUUAAAAUUAAAUGCUACCUCAUUAAAAUCUUGUUAGGAAAACCCAAUGGGACAAAACCUAAGCGAAGGAAAAAGAGAACAGCUACUCCCCCUGAUGUUGAUCACUGAAAAUCUUUGAGUCGAUGCAUUCCAAUCUCAUGAACUAAUUUCUUGAAUGUAGAUAUUGGCAGCGCUUUUGUGAAUAGAUCAGCCACAUUGUCACUUGAGCGAAUUUGUUGAAUAUCAAUGUCACCAUUCUUCUAAAGUUCAUGUGUAUGAAAGAAUUUUGGAGAAAUAUGCUUCGUCCUGUCGCCUUUGAUAUAGCCUCCCUUGAAUUGUGCGAUACAAGCUGCAUUAUCUUCAAACAAAAUUGUUGGAUUAUCUUUUGUUGAAGUCAAUCCACAUGAUGAUUGGAUAUGAUGGGUCAUAUUCCUCAACCAUACACAUUCUCGCCCUACUUCAUGGAUUGCAAUAAUCUCAGAAUGAUUUGAAGAUGUUGCUGUCAAGGAUUGCUUCAUAGAUCUCCAUGAUAUAGCCGUUCCUCCACGUGUAAACACAUAUCCUGUUUGUGAUUUAGCUUUAUGUGGAUCAGAGAGAUAACCUGCAUCUGCAUAUCCCACUAAAGCAGAUCCUAACUUUUGAGAAUAAAACAGUCCCAUAUCAAUAGCACCUUUUAGGUAACGAAAAAUAUGUUUAACACCAUUCCAAUGCUUUUGAGUUGGUGUAGAGCUAUAUCUUGCAAGGAGAUUUACAGAAAAAGCUAUGUCAGGUCGAGUGAAAUUUGCAAGAUAAGUUAAUGCUCCAAUUGCACUAAUUUAUGGUACUUCAGGACCAAGAAUCUUUUCUCCAUCUUCAAGUGGACGAAAUGAAUCUUUUUUCACAUCAAGUGAUCGAACAACCAUAAGUGAUGGCAAUGGAUGUGCAUUAUCCAUAUAAAAGCGUUUCAAGACUUUUUCUAUAUAAGUAGAUUGAUGAACAAAUAAUCCCUCUGGAAAAUGUUCAAUUUGUAAUCCAAGACAAAAUUUGGUUUUUCCCAAAUCUUUCAUCUCAAAUUCAUUUCUCAAAUAAUUUGCAGUUUUGUUGAGCUCUUUAGGAGUUUCAAUUAAAUUUAAAUCAUCAACAUAAACUGCCACAAUUGCAAAGCUAAUAUUUGUUUUCUUUAUGAAAACACAUGGGCAGAUAUCGUCAUUUUUAUAACCCUCUUUCAACAAAUAUUCGCUAAGGCGAUUAUACCACAUGCGUUCGGAUUGUUUCAAUCCAUAUAAUGAUUUUUGCAAUUUAAUCGAGAACAUAGUUCUCGGACAUGCAUCAUUUAUUCUCGGCACCUUAAAUCCUUCAGGGACUUUCAUAUAUAUAUAUAUAUAUAUAUAUAUAUGUCACUGUCAAGUGAACUAUAUAGGUAGGCAGUUACUACAUCCAUGAGGCGCAUAUCAAGCCCUUGUGACAAGGUCAAACUAAUUAAGAGUCUAAAAGUGAUGGUAUCCAUUAUGAGAGAAUAUGUUUCCUCAUAAUCAAUUCCCGGUCUUUGGGAGAAAUCUUGAGUCACUAGUCGGGCUUUGUAUCUUGUAAUUUCAUUAUUCUCAUUUCUCUUUCGUACAAAAAUCCAUUUGUAUCCAACAUGGAUUACAUUUUCAGGUGUUCGAAGUACUAGUCCAAACACUUUUCGUUUCUCCAAAGAAUUCAAUUCUGCCUAUAUGGCUUCUUUCCAUUUUGUCCAAUCAUUUCUAUUUUGACAGUCAUUAACAGACUGUGGUUCAAGAUCCUCAUUUUGCAUAAUAUCAAGAGCCAUGUUAAAGACGAAAAUAUUGUCUAUAAUAAUAUUAUUCCGUUCCCAUAAUUUAUGAGAUAUCAUAUAAUUUAUUGAGAUCUCAUUAUUUUUAGACACUUCUAGUUCUUUAGGAACCGUACAUUCAAUAUUUGAUUGAUCAAUCUUUUCUAAUAUGAUUUCUUCUGAAGUUUUUGGUUGGUUUUUCUCCUGUACUCUUCUUUUUCGAGGUACAGAGUCUUUUGAACCAACUGGUCGACCACGCUUCUGGCGUAUUUGAGAUUCAUUUGCCACAGUAGAUUGUCCUGCAGGGACAUUAAUUUUUGCUGAAAUAUUUUCUGUUGGAAUAUAUGACUUUGUCACUUUUCUCGUGUCAACAAAUACAUUAGGUAGUUGAAUUGCAACUCUUUGCAAAUGAACGAUUUUUUCAACCUCUUGUUCACAUUGAUUGCUGCGGGGAUCAAAGUGAGAUAGAGUUGUCUCAUUCCAAGAAAUUCUAUCUUGUUUUUUAGGAUGUAGUUUUUCUCCUCCCAAAGUUGGGAAAGUCAUUUAAUCAAAAUGACAAUCUACAAAACGUGCAGUAAAUAAGUCACCCGUUAAAGGUUCAAAAUAUUUAAUAAUAGAUGGUGAAUCAAAACCCACAUAAAUCCCAAGUCUUCAUUGGGGACCCAUUUUAGUACGUUGUGGGGGAUGAAAUAGGAAAUUGGACAGCACAACCAAAAACUCGUAGGUGAGAAAUAUCAGGUUCAUAACCAAAUGCAAGUUGCGAAGGUGAAUAUUGAUGAUAGACAGUUGGUCUUAUACGAACCAAUGAUGCAGCAUGUAAUAUGACAUGACCCCAAACAGAAGUUGGGAGUUUUAUUUUCAUAAGUAAUGGUCUAGCAAUAAGUUGUAGACGUUUAAUAAACGAUUUCGCUAAACCAUUUUGUGUAUGAACAUGUGCAACUGAAUGUUCAAUUUCAAUCCCAAUUGACAUACAAUAAUCAUCAAAUGCUUGUGAUAUAAAUUCACCAGCAUUGUCAAGACGAAUAGUCUUGAUUGAGUAAUUGGGAAAUUGUGCUCGCAAUUUUAUGAUUUGAGCAAAUAGUCUAGCAAAUGCUACAUUCCUAGUUGAAAGUAGGCAAACAUGUGACCAUCUUGUAGAAGAAUCAAUUAAUACCAUAAAGUAAUGAAAUGGUCCAUAUGGUGGGUGUAUUGGCCCACAUAUAUCUCCAUGUAUUCUUUUCAAGAGAGUUGGAGAUUCAAUAUUGACCUUUGUAGUUGAAGGUCUAAUGACUAACUUGCCUUGCGAACAAGUUACACAUGGAUAAUAAUUAGAUAAAAGAAUCUUCUGGUUCUUUAAAGGAUGUUCAUGUGAGUUGUUUAUUAUUCGACGCAUCAUUAUGGCUCCUGGAUGUCCAAGUCGAUCAUGCCAAAGUAUAAAAUUUUUUGAAUCAACGAACUUCUGGUUCGUAACAGUAUUUGAUUCGACCAUUUUUAUAAAUGUAAAAUACAUGACAGAUGGGAGUGCAUGAAAUUUUUCUUUUAUUUGCUUCUUGCGAGAUACAAAAGAAGUAAUGCAAAGAUAUUCAACAUUAUUUUCUUGCAUCGUCUCAAUGUGAUAUUCAUUACAGCGAAUAUCUUUAAAAUUAAGCAAAUUUCUUUUGGAUUUGCUAGAAUAAAGUUCAUCAUCAAUAUAUAAUUUUGUAUUAUUUGGUAAAAUAAUACAAGCUCUUUCGAAGCCUUUAACGAUAUUCGACGCAGCCGAUAUCGUGUUAACAUUAUUUUCAGCUAAUAUUAAGUCCAAAAAGUAUUUUUUAUCUUGAAUAAUAGUAUGCACUAUCAAUUAAGCAGCUAUCUUGACUAUCCAUCAUGAAUCUAGAUAAAAAAUAACAAAAUAAACAAAAUAACAAAAUAAACAAAAUAAAAAAAAACUUGAAUUUAGAUUUAAAGAAGUAAACAUUAAUUAAUAUCAUGAAAUAAACGGUGCAUAAUAGAGUUUUUUUUUGUGCGGUAAAGUAAAAACAUAUUUCAGACUGAAUUUUUAAAAUAAAAGAAAUACUAGUAAAUUAAUCUAUAUCUUCUAUCACACCACCCCCAACCAAAUGGUCAAUAUUUCUAGUUGGAUCAAUAAAGAAAUCUGAGCUAUCCAAAUGAGUCACAUCAAUUAGACCAUCAUAAUCAGCAAAAUUAGUCUCAAAAUUUUCUUUUCCCUUGAUUGAUCUCUGGUAGAGAUCCACAAGAUGUUUUGAGGUACGACACGUACGUGCCCAAUGCCCUUUCAUUCCACAUCUGAAGUAACUUUAUUCAUGCUCCUUUUUAGAUUUGCCACUCUCAUUUACUUUGUGCCUUUUGAAUUUAUUGUCUUGUUGUUGAUAACUUUGUUGAUUAUUUUUUCCAUGAUUUAUUCCACCUACAUGUCCGUGUCCGUGUCCACGUCUACAUCUACGUCCACGUCUGCGUCUUGAUAUUGUAUUUGCUUCAGACAAUGUAGUACCAUUUGCUUCAAGCAAUGGUACAGAACCAGUUGGACGUAAUCCAUGAUUUUUCAUCAACAAUUCAUUAUUUUGUUCAGCAACUAGUAGGCAAGAUAUAAGUUCUGAGUACUUUUUGAUGCCACGCUCACGAUAUUGCUGCCGCAGGAGCACAUUUGAGGCAUGAAAGGUGGAGAAAGUUUUUUCCAGCAUAUCUUCAUCGGUGAUUUUUCCUCCACACAAAGUUAACUUUGAACAUAUUCUAAACAAUUCAAAGUUGUACUCACUAACCGUUUUAAAGUCUUGCAAACGAAGGUGCAUCCACUCAUAACGGGCUUUGGGGAGGACCAUUGUCCUCUGAUGAUCAAAUCUUUCAGUUAACUUUUUCCAAAGAACUCGUGAAUCUUUUUCAAUGAGAUAUUCAAUUUUUAAUCCAUUGUGAAGAUGGUGAUGGAGGAAAAUGAGUGCUUUUGCACGAUCCUAUAGGGAUUCAUUGUUUCCUUCUUUUAUUGUCUCUCCCAAACCCUUUGAGACGAGAUGUAUAUCAGCAUCCAGUAUCCAUGACAGAUAAUUUUUAUUAGAUAUGUCAAGUGCAACAAACUCAAAUUUCGUAAUGUUCGCCAUUUGUUUAACUACACAAUAAAAAAAUACAAUUAGUUUCGAAAAAUAUGAUUAAUCAUCAUAUGUUAGUCAAAUAGUAAAUAUCAACAUGACUUUAAGUUACGUGUUUUCCUCUAGGGAUAAACACUAAUUUGAAAUAAUAUAUUUUUCAAAACAUAUGCUACUUCUGGAGCACAUUAUAUUUUGCUAUUAUUUCUUCAAGUGCAAUAUGUCAAUAUUCUUUUGGAAUAUUGAGAGUUAUUAUUUAUGCUCUUCAAGAGCAAAUAAUAAUCUUAUAAUAUUGUGCUACUUCUGGAGCAACAACGAAUAGAUCUGUGAUUAAUAUUCUUCUGGAAUAUUAAUUAUAAUGUUGUGCUACUUCAAGAGCAAUAACAAUUAAAAAUAAAUUUAAUGUAAUGCUUCAUAACUAAACAUAAAAAAAAAGAUAAUACAUCCAAUUGUUCACCAUUAAUUAAUAUACAAACAUAUGUAAAAUAUUAUUUUGAAUUAAUAACGUGAGUCGAGUGAAACACGAAAAAAAUUGGUGACAUGUAAAAACCUAUUCACAUAUUAUGGCACGAAAUUCUAAUUAUGUGCAAUUAAAAGAAUUGAAUUAGUAUUAACCAAUUAAGGCAUGAAAUUUGCAGAAACCAAUGGAUUUGAGAGAAAAGAUGAGUUGGGUACAGUUAUUUGUUAAUUAUAUAUUUUAUAUAUAUAUGGAAUCAGCCAAAAUAAAGAUCUAGAGUUGAAGCUUGCUUACAAAGAACAUUGACCAAUUAAACAAAAAAAAUUAUAAGCAUGUUUAAAACGUAAAGGGCUAAUCUAAAUAUAAGAAGGGUAUAUGAACAUGAAUUAAUGCAUAUCAAUUGAUUUAACAUAAAUAUAUCUCCAUAAAAAUGCACGUGGAUUGAUGUAAAGGAAAAAAUAUUAAUUAAUUCAAAGAGAGGUACAAAGAAAACAUAAUGAUCGAGAAAGAUGAGAUCACGUAUUGAAGAUUCAACAUAUGUAUAUGUAAAAUUCACGUAUUAUCAAAUUAAUUUUGAUAUACAUGAUAGAUGAUUAUGAAAAAAAUUACUACUUUCUAAGAGUUUCCUACUGAUAACGUGUUAUAAAAUGAGAGGAAAAGAGAAUAGAGAAAGCUCAAAGAGAAUAGAGAAAACUCAAUAAACUUUUUGGGUGUAUUAUUGAAAACUAAAGCCCUAUAUUUAUAGGUAAGAAUCAGGGAUACAAUGGUAAUAAUUUCUAGGGCUACAGGGGUAUAAAUGUCAUUCACCAAUAAACUUUAAUGGACUUUCCAUUUACAAUAGGAAGAAGGUUUUGUUGAUAAAUUAGUUAUUAGAAAAGAGAUUAGAAAGUGGGAUUAUCUUCAAUUGAUCAAAAGAAUAUUUGGGAAAUUCAUUCGAGCAUCAACCAAUUUUAGUUAAGUAUUAUAGAAGUAGAUCUUAAAGUUUCUUAAUUUAAUAGUGGUUGAUUAGUCAUCUUGUUAUGUAUUCUAAGUGGUGACGAGGAGAUUGGAAGAGCCUAUCGACUAUCUUAGGUUCAGCUUGUAUUAUGUGAGUGGAUAAGCUUAUUUUUCAGAAAUUAGUAUUUAUUUAAUUUAUGUUAACUCAGAAAAUUUAUUAAUUCAUAUAGUAGAUUUGACAACACGAUUUUCAGCCAAUUGUUUUUAAAAGUUAAAUUCAAUUUAGUAAAUCAUUUUAUUAGCAUGUUAUAUGAGUAUUAAAUGUUUCUGCAUAUUUAAAGUUGUUUUCUAAAAAUCACCAGAAAGUACCCAAGUGAUUUUACCCUCGUUUGCCCUAGUGUGAAUGUGUUUCCACAGUGAAUAACUUCAUAUGGUUAUUUUACUCACUCUGCGCUGGUGUGAAUAUGUUUCCACGGCGUAUGAUCAGUAUAGUGAUUUUACCCGCUCUGCACUAUUGUGAAUGUGUUUCCAUAGUGUAUGACCAUUUUAUUGCUCUGCGCAUGUACGACCAAAAUUUUAGAAUUACAGGAUUACAAAAUUGAAUAACCUUGCUAUGUAUAUCGAGAUUAAUCGAUACACGAGUAUGGUUAUUCCGAGUACAUUUUUUGUGUGAUGUUUCAGUAUUACAUAACUUAUCAGAUUUUAGAAAUGCAGUAUACAGAAUAAAGAUGUUUAUGAUUACAGUAUAUUUUAGUUUUGAUAGUAUUAUCAAAUUUUAAGCUACAGAAUUCAGCUUAUUCAGUUUAAAGAAUAAAUAUUUUAGUUUAUAUGUCCGUGAAAAGAAAAUUUAUGCUAUAUGUCGGUUUUCAGAAAGAUUUUAUGAAUGGAAAAGUAUACUUUUACAAAUAUCCACUCACUGAGUCGCAAGCUCAUAUUUUUGCCACCUAAUUUCUUAUCAGAUAGAAGCUGCAUUGAGCCAUAUCGGAGCCUGUUGAUCGACGAGUUGAACUACAUCGUGUCAUUAUUUGUAUGUCUCAUCUUGUUAAUUCAUACAACACAUAUUUUCUGGGAUUGAUGUAUUUUGUGUCGGAAAACGUAUUAAGUCACUAGCUCAUUGUAUAUUUUGUGUAUGUUUUGAAAUGAAGUUGUUUGGUGGUAAAGAAGGGUAAAUUUCUUUUUCAGUACUACUACUUUGAAGAAUUGGUAUUUUGAGGGGUCGGUGUACCCUGUUUUAAACUAUAUGUACAUGUUUGGGAUA